GAUGAACGCUGGCGGCGUGCUUAACACAUGCAAGUCGAACGAACCUUCGGGUUAGUGGCGGACGGGUGAGUAACGCGUGAGAAUCUGCCCUCAGGAGGGGGAUAACGGUUGGAAACGACCGCUAAUACCCCAUAUGCCUACUGGUGAAAUGAAUUUCGCCUGAGGAUGAGCUCGCGUCUGAUUAGCUAGUUGGUGAGGUAAUGGCUCACCAAGGCUUCGAUCAGUAGCUGGUCUGAGAGGAUGAUCAGCCACACUGGGACUGAGACACGGCCCAGACUCCUACGGGAGGCAGCAGUGGGGAAUUUUCCGCAAUGGGCGAAAGCCUGACGGGGCAACGCCGCGUGAGGGACGGAGGCCUCUGGGCUGUAAACCUCUUUUCUCAAGGAAGAAGAUAUGACGGUACUUGAGGAAUAAGCCACGGCUAAUUCCGUGCCAGCAGCCGCGGUAAUACGGGAGUGGCAAGCGUUAUCCGGAAUUAUUGGGCGUAAAGCGUCCGCAGGCGGCUUUUCAAGUCUGCUGUUAAAGCGUGGAGCUUAACUCCAUCAUGGCAGUGGAAACUGAAAGGCUUGAGUAUGGUAGGGGCAGAGGGAAUUCCCGGUGUAGCGGUGAAAUGCGUAGAUAUCGGGAAGAACACCAGUGGCGAAGGCGCUCUGCUGGGCCAUUACUGACGCUCAUGGACGAAAGCCAGGGGAGCGAAAGGGAUUAGAUACCCCUGUAGUCCUGGCCGUAAACGAUGAACACUAGGUGUCGGGGGAAUCGACCCCUUCGGUGUCGUAGCUAACGCGUUAAGUGUUCCGCCUGGGGAGUACGCACGCAAGUGUGAAACUCAAAGGAAUUGACGGGGGCCCGCACAAGCGGUGGAGUAUGUGGUUUAAUUCGAUGCAACGCGAAGAACCUUACCAGGGUUUGACAUCCUGCGAACCUCUUAGAAAUUUGAGGGUGCCUUCGGGAAUGCAGUGACAGGUGGUGCAUGGCUGUCGUCAGCUCGUGUCGUGAGAUGUUGGGUUAAGUCCCGCAACGAGCGCAACCCACGUUUUUAGUUGCCAGCAUUUAGUUGGGCACUCUAGAAAGACCGCCGGUGAUAAACCGGAGGAAGGUGUGGAUGACGUCAAGUCAUCAUGCCCCUUACACCCUGGGCUACACACGUACUACAAUGCUACGGACAAAGGGCAGCAAACUCGCGAGAGCUAGCAAAUCCCAUAAACCGUGGCUCAGUUCAGAUCGUAGGCUGCAACUCGCCUACGUGAAGUAGGAAUCGCUAGUAAUCGCAGGUCAGCAUACUGCGGUGACUACGUUCCCGGGCCUUGUACACACCGCCCGUCACACCAUGGAAGUUGGCCAUGCCCGAAGUCGUUACUCCAACCCUUGUGGAGGAGGACGCCGAAGGUGGGGCUAGUGACUGGGGUG
This 1407-nucleotide ribosomal RNA is filed under the name uncultured bacterium. Its description in RNAcentral is "bacterial SSU rRNA". It matches the Rfam family "Bacterial small subunit ribosomal RNA". The record is from RNAcentral.